GGGGUGAUAGCUCAGUUGGGAGAGCGCUAGACUGAAGAUCCAACUUCGGUUCCCAUCUUAUGGUAUAUCUAGAGGUCGCCGGUUCAAUCCCGGCUCAUCCCA
Molecule: non-coding RNA, 102 nt
Organism: Aspergillus egyptiacus
Lineage: Eukaryota; Fungi; Ascomycota; Eurotiomycetes; Eurotiales; Aspergillaceae
Source: the annotation of a GenBank genome assembly